Molecule: transfer RNA, 70 nt
Filed under: Schedorhinotermes medioobscurus
Lineage: Eukaryota; Metazoa; Arthropoda; Insecta; Blattodea; Rhinotermitidae
Also listed under: 1 other name
Description: tRNA-Ser
Source: RNAcentral
AGUUAAAUAGCACAAGAAAGCCUAAUGUCUUGAAAACAUUAAGAAAGAAGUUAAAUCCUUCUGUUAACUU